This 492-nucleotide ribosomal RNA is filed under the name uncultured bacterium. RNAcentral describes it as "partial 16S ribosomal RNA". It matches the Rfam family "Bacterial small subunit ribosomal RNA", at positions 29 to 507 of the family's 1533-position model. The record is from RNAcentral.
AGUGAACGCUGGCGGUAGGCCUAACACAUGCAAGUCGAACGGCAGCACAGUAAGAGUUUGCUCUUACGGGUGGCGAGUGGCGGACGGGUGAGGAAUACAUCUGAAUCUACUUUUUCGUGGGGGAUAACGUAGGGAAACUUACGCUAAUACCGCAUACGACCUACGGGUGAAAGCAGGGGAUCUUCGGACCUUGCGCGAUUGAAUGAGCCGAUGUCGGAUUAGCUAGUUGGCGGGGUAAAGGCCCACCAAGGCGACGAUCCGUAGCUGGUCUGAGAGGAUGAUCAGCCACACUGGAACUGAGACACGGUCCAGACUCCUACGGGAGGCAGCAGUGGGGAAUAUUGGACAAUGGGCGCAAGCCUGAUCCAGCCAUACCGCGUGGGUGAAGAAGGCCUUCGGGUUGUAAAGCCCUUUUGUUGGGAAAGAAAAGCAGCAGGUUAAUACCCCGCUGUUCUGACGGUACCCAAAGAAUAAGCACCGGCUAACUUCGUG